This is a long non-coding RNA of Homo sapiens (human), 2972 nucleotides long. Ensembl annotates it as LY86 antisense RNA 1. Its record names the gene LY86-AS1. NCBI's taxonomy places the organism in Eukaryota, Metazoa, Chordata, Mammalia, Primates, Hominidae. The record is from Ensembl.
GUUCCAGACAGUUUUAUCAUCCACAUUGCUGACCUGGAAGAUGCAUCAUUGUCUAUGAUAUCUGCAAUGGAAAUGAUCACUAGGCAAUUUCAGCCUUGCAAAUCUAACGCUUUACCUAUCCUGCAAAUGCCUCAGAAUCACCUACCAAUAUAAAAGAUGGUAGGUUGCAUUUUAAAGUAGUUCUCCUUCUACAGUAUGAACAGUGACGGACAGGCUGAGAGCGGAGAGACUUUCCCUUGGACCCUUGCCUCAGUAACUUUUAAUACAUGUAAGACGGAUCAUCUGACUUUGGACUUUCUGAAGCAAUAACAUCGGAAAGUUAAUCAGAGUUGGCGUUCUGGGAAUUCAAGGGCAGAGAUAAGUGUUUCCUCCAGAUACUUCACUGUAUUUCAGCAAAUGACCUGAGGAAAGAAGUCAAAACUUCAUCACGAAAUAGAAGACUGUUCAUUUUCAAUAUUUCUUCCUUGGCCUCUAUGUGGCACUCCCUUGCUGUCUGUCCUGUUGACUUCUAUGGCUUCCACCCAAGGGAGGACAGCAUUAUAGUGGGUGAAUCCAGCACACCCCAAACUGCCCCUGCUCCCCUCUCCCCCGGGCAUGUGGGCCCUCGAAGGCAGGCUUCUCCAAACCAGCAGCAUGUGAACCCUGCCAGAAGUGAGGAAGAGCUCUAGGAGAGCAGCCAGCAGCAUCUGUUUUGCAUACAAAGGGCAGCAACAAUCAAAUCUCUUCUAGAAAAGUUUUCUUGGACAUUCAUGGAGUAAAAUAGAGUUGGAUAAACAAGCCAGGUUUAGAGUGAGCAGCGUUUGAACAAAUAUCAGCUCCAAAGGUAUUGUUGUGCCUUCCACCCUCCAUUAGUGGCCUAGGCUGGGCUAGACCUGGGCAGCUGUCGAGGGGAGGACAACCUUGUCAGAAUGGCUUCUAUUAACAGCUAGCAGUGGGCUUUCAACUGGAAUCAGUAGGAAGAAGACAAAAUCCAAUGACACAGACUCUGGAAGUGAAAUUCCUCAGCAGAGGAUGGUGGGGGCCCGGGUACACUCCACUGGACCAAUCCUUGAUUUGACUUCAGGCAGCCGGAAAGCUUGGAUGUAUGUCCCUAAGUCCUGGAGGCCAUGGAUGUAGCUCCGCCCCCUGUGGCCUCUGCGUUGCUGGCUGGUUAGUUUGAGGCAUAGAGGAGGGCCCAACUCUUACACAGCUAGUCCCAUUUUCCAUAUUCUAGCUCUACUUGAGGUUUUUCUUUAGCUUUAUAUUUUGAAAUAAUUAUAUUUUCACAGGAAGUUGCAAAAAGAUACAGAGAGGUCUCAUAUGUCUUUCCCCAUCAUCCCCCAUGGUAAGAUCUUACAUGGAGGACAAUACCAAAACUGGGACAUUGACACUGAUACAAUCCACAAAGUUUAUUCAGAUGUCACCAGUUUAACAAUCAUUCGUGUGUGUGUGUGUACAAGCGCAUGUAUGUGCCUGUUUUUUACAUUUCUAUUGCUUGGGUUUAAAAUGGUUAGAAAUUGGUCUUCCUCCUCUCAGGGGAAGGUAGAAUUCUUACAGCAGAGUCGCUGUGAAAAGGAGCUGACCCCCCUCCAAUCUCACUUCCACCAGCCUUCCACAUACUCAUGGCCAAGUGCAACCCCAAGAUUGCAAUGUCCUUCCUGCUUUGUAAAGGUAGUCUUUCUCCCCCUCCCUUUCUCCUAGCUCUCCUCUUCUCUCUUCCUGUCUCUCAUUCUUUCCCUCUCUCCCUGUCUCCCUCCCUUUCUCUCUCUCUGUUUCUCUUUUUCUUCUCAUACCAGUACUUAGAUCUGGCUACCAUCCUGAGAUUAAGAACACUGACUUUUCUUCAAACACAUCUUAACAUUCAUGGCUCAUUCCCUGUGGCCCACAUUACUCUAAGAGCUGGUAUUGCUUCCUGCAUGUGCUUUUGGCAGAACACAGGCUGGCCCCAGGAGGAUGUUAGGUAUUACAAGCAUGCUUCCAAUAGAGGCACGACCUGCGGAGGAGAAAGGGCGUAGAGGGCCCAGGAGACCUUACCAGCCACAGGCAGCUUAGCUGCACUGGCAAGACUGCCUCUAGCAAACAGUUUAUGGAGGGAAGGAAAAAUUGGGUUAACAGAAUGUGAAUAAAGCUGGUCUGCUUCUGACUGCUCAAUAAAACAGUACUGGAUGGUUGUUUAAUAAUGGGGGGGUGUGUUAGGGUUCUCUAGAGAAACAGAACCACUUGGCACUGGAGACAGAGUGUCUGAGUGUGGUUGAACUGCUAGUCCCGGGCCAAAUAGUAGCAGAUAUUCCUCUGCAUCUUUCAGAAUUCUUUCCCAAAUGUAACAAAAUAACAAACAGACCUUGCUUUUGAUUUCUUCUUUUAGGUUGGCUGAUGGCCAAUUCUGCCAGCUUGUGUUCUAUUUAUCAAACAGAUCUAGUUGGGCAUGGAUCUAGAAGUCUGUCUUCUUUCAUGGCUGUACUUUUACUGGAGUGUCUUAAUUUUCUUGGCGAAUUCAUAGGAUGACGUUCAAGGGUCACCGUAGACCUUUACAGGAGGAUGAUGCAUAAGGCUUCAGUAAAAUCGCAUUGCUGGAAAUCCAUUACCAGCACAAUGCAAAAUUAACUUUCUUCUUUUCUGUCCUUAAUGCCACUGUGUUCCCUCCUCCUCCUCCCCUCAUACUCCCUCCCCACCUUUGUGGAAAAAGAAAUAAUUUACAAUGUGGUAAAUGUAUUCUAGCUGUGGUUUUCUAUUAUGUCCUGAUCUCUUCUUUUUUCUACCUGUCAAAUCUUAUUACUGUAGCACAGCAAGGCUCCCCAAUGGGUCAUUAUUUCAAAUAAUAGUAGUUCCACUCCCAUUUGACUCUCUUAUGCCAGCAUUUCCUCGGGAAUUGACUCACACAUUCAAGUCAUACGUAUGAACUGGCUUCCGGUUUCAUCUCAGAUAUGUAAACGGUGUGUUCAAAAUACUUAAACAUGUUUCUUGCUAUCAAAUGCAACAAAAAUAAAAUGAAC